GAGAUGUUAGUUUAAGUGGUAAAAUAGUUGGUUUGAGCCCAAUCAAUGGGCUUUAAGCCCACAUCUUU
RNAcentral lists this transfer RNA (68 nucleotides) under Graffilla buccinicola. Its description in RNAcentral is "tRNA-Ser". It matches the Rfam family "tRNA". From Rfam's summary of the family: Transfer RNA (tRNA) molecules are approximately 80 nucleotides in length. Lineage: Eukaryota; Metazoa; Platyhelminthes; Rhabdocoela; Graffillidae. The record is from RNAcentral.